RNAcentral lists this ribosomal RNA (253 nucleotides) under uncultured bacterium. RNAcentral's name for it is "partial 16S ribosomal RNA". It matches the Rfam family "Bacterial small subunit ribosomal RNA", at positions 524 to 776 of the family's 1533-position model. The record is from RNAcentral.
UACAGAGGUCUCGAGCGUUAGGCGGAAUCACUGGGCUUAAAGCGUGUGUAGGUGGAUGCCUAAGUACCUUGUGAAAUCCCACGGCUUAACCGUGGAACUGCUGGAUAUACUGCUUGUCUUGAGGCACUUAGGGGCAGCUGGAACAAAUGGUGGAGCGGUGAAAUGCGUAGAUAUCAUUUGGAACGCCAAAGGCGAAAGCAGGCUGCUGGGAGUGAUCUGACACUGAGACGCGAAAGCCAGGGGAGCAAACGGG